AAGUGACCUAUAGCUUGACAAACUGAUAGUAGGAACUGCUCUGUGCGGCUGUGGAGUACUGUUCCUCACAUAGACCAAUGGCCUAAUAGAAGUGAUUUAGACCUACAUGGUAAUUCCCACCUCCUGUUUCUCAUCUCUCCUAUGAGUCCUAUCCUUCAAGAUUGUAAGUCCUCACAGUAUUAGGUCCCUCAACUCUUCCUGUAUUUAUUUGACAAAUGUUG
This is a non-coding RNA of Pelobates cultripes (western spadefoot toad), 221 nucleotides long. The record is from the annotation of a GenBank genome assembly. NCBI's taxonomy places the organism in Eukaryota, Metazoa, Chordata, Amphibia, Anura, Pelobatidae.